AGGACUUGCCUGCUUGUUCCCGUUCGGCAUUAUGUAAGCUGUGUAAGUGAUGUGGUUCCAACGCGCAGGUGCUUUAGUUUCAUUGUCUCCGUAAAGACAGCUUCCUCAUAAAUAUGAUUUACGAAGCAGUUCUUUCCAUUCGGCCUCUUGGAGCUCUCACAGAAACUAACAAUCACAAUUCCAAAUGAGGUAAUUCUGAGCUUCACCAGUGUGGCUGGCCAGCAUUCUAAGACAGCAUUAAAGACGAUGCGAAGGAUGGAAGCUGGAUACUAGAGAAUAAUUUAAAUUAUGAAAGUACUCUCAUAGUUGUGAUUGCCAGAGGAAAGAAGGGUUGGGGGAGCUAGAAGAGUGAUAAAUGGUGAUGGAAGGAGACUUGGCUUAGGGUGGUGAAUACACAAUACAAUAUACAGAUGAUGUAUUACUGAAUUGUAUACCGAAAACCUAUAUAAGUUUAUUAGCCCAUGUCACCCCAAUACAUUCAAUUAA
This is a long non-coding RNA of Myotis daubentonii (Daubenton's bat), 486 nucleotides long. RefSeq lists it as uncharacterized. NCBI's taxonomy places the organism in Eukaryota, Metazoa, Chordata, Mammalia, Chiroptera, Vespertilionidae. The record is from RefSeq and is a predicted model, not a curated record.